RNA transcript from Pieris brassicae (large cabbage white), 1609 nucleotides. RefSeq lists it as uncharacterized. The record is from RefSeq and is a predicted model, not a curated record. The transcript is spliced from 12 exons. Lineage: Eukaryota; Metazoa; Arthropoda; Insecta; Lepidoptera; Pieridae.
CACCGAGAGCCGCUGACGCGGGAAGAAAAAUGUUGGUUUAAAAUCAGCGUUUUAGACCUGGUGGAAUCUCUCCAGGUCUAGGAUGUCGUCGUCAUCCGUGUCUGGUGGUGCUGUGGGAGACAUAAUCGACCUGGAUCGUUACAUGCGGGCCUCCGUCAGACCUUCACCUCCUCACAGAAACGAGCGUCUUGUCGUGGACGCUGGUGCUGUGGGCCGAAGGCCAAUAUCGUUGAGUUCGCUUCACUCUGAUGAAUCGGUUCAUCCGCAAGGGGUCGAUUCAAGGCCGAAGGGUUUCAUUGAGCCCAGGCCCCAGCUGGCCACGCAUAAGAGGUUUUCCCACGACUCUGGCGUGUCUGAUGGCAGCCGCGUCAGACGGAAACGGAAUAGGCACCCGACAGAUUGCAGUAGCAAAUGCCAUUCGCGUCAGUCGUCAAUGAAGGAGUUUCGCGUGAUAUGCGAACAGACGUUGAAAGAGCAGAGGGAGCAAAUCGCCAAGGUCACGGAGCUGUGUGAGAGAUUGGCCGCGCCCAAGGGGAGUUCUUUGGAACCUAAAGUAAAGAAACAAUCGCUUCCAAGCAGCGACUCGAGUGAAUUAAGUUCGUCCACAACUACGACCAGUAGACGCAAACACAAAGAUAAGCAUUUGUCUGAAUCGUGUAAAACCUACAAAAUAAUAAUGACGAAAUUGGACGAGUUGAGUCGCGUCUUCCGUCGGCCAUUGCCACCUGCCUCUUCGGGUAGCGUAUCUGUCUGCGACAAACUUGUCAAUACGGAGUUGAGGAAUCAGACAGUGUUGAGAUGUGAAGAGCGAAAGCUAGAAGUGACCCGGACCAACGAAGUGGACAUCGCGCCAAGGCAACGACAUAAUGUUCUUGUGCACAGUCUUGUGGAGAGUGACCGCUCGUCCGUUUGUUCUGGGUCCGCCGUUGACUUAGAAGAUCCAAUACAGUUUUCACAAGCGAAACAGAGUGACGCAAGUGUGCGAGGGAGACGGAGGACGUCCCUCUGCUCGCUUUGUCGCUCGUACUGGCGCUCUUUGUGGCGAUGUCUGCCGAGUUAUAUUAACGAAGAUAAGACAGGCCGAUGAGAAAAAGAAGAUGAACAUCUGACAUGCACUGACAGAACAAAAGAAAAUUUACAGUGAAACGAUGGAGGAAUAAUAAAAAAUUGAACCAUUAUGAAAUACUUGAACACGAAAAUAUGAAGAAAAUCCGAUACGGAAUAUUUUGCCUUUUAUAUCUUCUCUUCCAGGUGGCGGCUGCAGUAGCCUGCAAGCGGAAAUCAUCCUGUCGUCCGCCUCGCUGUCCAGGCGGCUGUAAGCCGAAGUAUUGGUGACCAGGUCCCAGAGAUGUGGGAGGUAUUGAGCUGGGCAACGUGGUGUCUGAUGCUGGUGAUAGGCGUGGUGGAUGGCUGCAAAAAGAAGACGAUCUGCCGCCCACCACCGGGUGGCAGGCCUGGUUGUGGUGGCCGUUGACACAUGAUUACACUUACUUUAAACGAAACUAAAUCAUUUAAUACUGAAAUUAUAAUUAUGAAAGUACAAGUUGACCCUUGAAGACGAUAAAAAACGAAAAAUGUUAGUUUAAAUUUAAUAAAUUUGUUAACUGUG